AGAGUUUGAUCCUGGCUCAGGAUGAACGCUGGCGGCGUGCUUAACACAUGCAAGUCGAACGAAGCAUAGGAGUGGAAUUUUUCGGAAGGAAACAACUAUGACUGAGUGGCGGACGGGUGAGUAACACGUAGGUAACCUGCCCCGGAGCGGGGGAUAACAUUUGGAAACAGAUGCUAAUACCGCAUAACAACAAAAGCCACAUGGCUUUUGUUUGAAAGAUGGCUUUGGCUAUCACUCUGGGAUGGACCUGCGGUGCAUUAGCUAGUUGGUAAGGUAACGGCUUACCAAGGCGAUGAUGCAUAGCCGAGUUGAGAGACUGAUCGGCCACAAUGGAACUGAGACACGGUCCAAACUCCUACGGGAGGCAGCAGUGGGGAAUAUUGCACAAUGGGGGAAACCCUGAUGCAGCAACGCCGCGUGAGUGAAGAAGGCUUUCGGGUCGUAAAACUCUGUUGUUGGAGAAGAAUGGUCGGCAGAGUAACUGUUGUCGGCGUGACGGUAUCCAACCAGAAAGCCACGGCUAACUACGUGCCAGCAGCCGCGGUAAUACGUAGGUGGCAAGCGUUAUCCGGAUUUAUUGGGCGUAAAGCGAGCGCAGGCGGUUUUUUAAGUCUGAUGUGAAAGCCCUCGGCUUAACCGAGGAAGUGCAUCGGAAACUGGGAAACUUGAGUGCAGAAGAGGACAGUGGAACUCCAUGUGUAGCGGUGAAAUGCGUAGAUAUUAGGAAGAACACCAGUGGCGAAGGCGGCUGUCUGGUCUGUAACUGACGCUGAGGCUCGAAAGCAUGGGUAGCGAACAGGAUUAGAUACCCUGGUAGUCCAUGCCGUAAACGAUGAAUGCUAGGUGUUGGAGGGUUUCCGCCCUUCAGUGCUGCAGCAAACGCAUUAAGCACUCCGCCUGGGGAGUACGACCGCAAGGUUGAAACUCAAAGGAAUUGACGGGGGCCCGCACAAGCGGUGGAGCAUGUGGUUUAAUUCGAAGCAACGCGAAGAACCUUACCAGGUCUUGACAUUGAUGGACAGAACCAGAAACCGGAACUUUCCUUCGGGACAGGGGAGACAGGUGGUGCAUGGUUGUCGUCAGCUCGUGCUGUGAGAUGUUGGGUUAAGUCCCGCAACGAGCGCAACCCUUACCUUCAGUAGCCAGCGAGUAAAGUCGGGCACUCUGGAGGGACUGCCAGGGACAACCUGGAGGAAGGUGGGGAUGACGUCAAAUCAUCAUGCCCCUUAUGAUCUGGGCUACACACGUGCUACAAUGGCGUAAACAAAGGGAAGCGAGACAGUGAUGGUAAGCAAAUCCCAAAAAUAACGUCUCAGUUCGGAUUGUAGUCUGCAACUCGACUACAUGAAGCUGGAAUCGCUAGUAAUCGCGGAUCAGAAUGCCGCGGUGAAUACGUUCCCGGGUCUUGCACUCACCGCCCGUCA
RNAcentral lists this ribosomal RNA (1424 nucleotides) under human gut metagenome. Its description in RNAcentral is "bacterial SSU rRNA". It matches the Rfam family "Bacterial small subunit ribosomal RNA". The record is from RNAcentral.